GACGAACGCUGGCGGCGUGCUUAACACAUGCAAGUCGAACGGAAAGGCCCUGCUUUUGUGGGGUGCUCGAGUGGCGAACGGGUGAGUAACACGUGAGUAACCUGCCCUUGACUUUGGGAUAACUUCAGGAAACUGGGGCUAAUACCGGAUAGGAGCUCCUGCUGCAUGGUGGGGGUUGGAAAGUUUCGGCGGUUGGGGAUGGACUCGCGGCUUAUCAGCUUGUUUGUGGGGUAGUGGCUUACCAAGGCUUUGACGGGUAGCCGGCCUGAGAGGGUGACCGGCCACAUUGGGACUGAGAUACGGCCCAGACUCCUACGGGAGGCAGCAGUGGGGAAUAUUGCACAAUGGGCGGAGGCCUGAUGCAGCAACGCCGCGUGCGGGAUGACGGCCUUCGGGUUGUAAACCGCUUUCGCCUGUGACGAAGCGUGAGUGACGGUAAUGGGUAAAGAAGCACCGGCUAACUACGUG
This 468-nucleotide ribosomal RNA is filed under the name uncultured bacterium. Its description in RNAcentral is "partial 16S ribosomal RNA". It matches the Rfam family "Bacterial small subunit ribosomal RNA", at positions 28 to 507 of the family's 1533-position model. The record is from RNAcentral.